AACUAAUCUCCGUUGUACAACUGGUUGGAGAUUCACAUUGGUGUGCCACUCCACUGGUACAAUCGGCCCAGAACAGUCCUACGAGGGGAGGCAUCAUGAACAAGGUUCUAGGACUCAUUGUUUUGGCUUGUGCCACUCUGUACGUGGUCGUCCAAUGUCACUACGACUACGGUUACUCAGGGUACCCCCCUAACAACUACUACGGAGGAGGUGCACAACAACAACAACAACAACAAUAUGGAUCAAAUCGGUUGACUAACUACGCACUGGCCAGAGCCUAUUAUGACGAUAGGGUUGAAAACAAAGGUUUAUUCCGUGGCGGCUCUGUCGUAUCAACAGCUGCCGCCCUUCUUUUCUUAUGGUAUGCGUUUAACGGUACUGGAGGCGUUCUGGGAUGAAACUAAGACCCAUUACGGUAGCGUAUGUGCCGGGGCAUCUACUGACGGUCGAAGACCUCUUGCGUGAUGUUAAAUUAUUCCAUCGUAUUUGCUUGUGUGAUCAUUAAAAUAUUCGUUAACUAA
This is a long non-coding RNA of Mizuhopecten yessoensis (Yesso scallop), 521 nucleotides long. RefSeq lists it as uncharacterized. The record is from RefSeq and is a predicted model, not a curated record. Lineage: Eukaryota; Metazoa; Mollusca; Bivalvia; Pectinida; Pectinidae. The transcript has 3 exons.